GGGGGUGAUUCGGAUUCGACGCCGGUAUCAACACCUGUAGUGCAUGUCGAGAGGGUAGUAACUCUCGUUAAUAAAUUACUGCAACUUUUUAGUUGCCAACGACGAUAGAUACGCUCUAGCAGCUUAAUAUAGCCGCUAGCGAUUGCCACUAGGAUGCCCGUAAACAAGUGUUUUGCAAUCGUCAUAUAGAACGGGAUCGCAGUGCGAUGUGUCUGGCAUCAAUCUGUUAAAUUUUUCCAGGCUCGCCCUAUUCGCCCUGCCCGUCGGGUAGAUACGGGCUAACUCAAUAGACGACGCUAAACAUGUAGAUCUCUAGGCCGCGAGCUGACGGACGGGGGUUCAAAUCCCCCCGCCUCCACCA
This 361-nucleotide transfer-messenger RNA is filed under the name Acidimicrobiales. RNAcentral's name for it is "UBA2110 sp002388005 Standard tmRNA". It matches the Rfam family "transfer-messenger RNA". From Rfam's summary of the family: Bacterial tmRNA, also known as 10Sa RNA or SsrA, is named for its dual tRNA and mRNA-like properties. Its role is to liberate the mRNA from a stalled ribosome. To accomplish this part of the tmRNA is used as a reading frame that ends in a translation stop signal. RNAcentral also lists the same sequence under 1 other name. Lineage: Bacteria; Bacillati; Actinomycetota; Acidimicrobiia. The record is from RNAcentral.